RNAcentral lists this non-coding RNA (26 nucleotides) under Mus musculus (house mouse). The record is from RNAcentral. Lineage: Eukaryota; Metazoa; Chordata; Mammalia; Rodentia; Muridae.
UCAAAUCUCAAAGCCUUUGUACUUCU